UUGAUUGCUCGCGCGUCGCUCCCGUUUCGUUGUUCACCCUUUAUUUGGCUCCUCGGUUGGGGCACCAACAGCACCUCGUGCUGUUUGCCGACUCGACUCGCUUGUGUCAUCGCUGUCCAAACACCGCGAUUGUUUGCCCCAGUCUUAAGGAAAACGCGCGGCAAGCGGGCCAAGUGCGCGGCCAAUUGCCUUUUGGCAGACGCCGAGAUCUGAUCUCCGAUCUGUUGCGAAACGUAGCGGCCAUUCCCCAUUCGCCAUCGCCAUAGCCAUUCGCUAUUCGCCAUUAAUCUCAAUAAUAUCAAUUGGAUAUCCACACACAUAUUCAGAUCACUUGGCUCCGAUCUCUGAGCCAUGCCCUCCACCUCCUCCCUCGGCGGUCGCCCCUCGGACGGAAGCCAUAGAAUCGCUGCUGUGGCAGCAUUCACUAUGUGUUCCCGCAACAUUAAGAUCUCGGUGGUGCUGUUUCUCGUCCUGAUACCAAUCUUCGCCGCCUUGCCACACAACCACAACCUGUCGAAGCGCAGCAACUUCUUCGACCUGGAGUGCAAGGGCAUCUUCAACAAGACCAUGUUCUUCCGACUGGACCGCAUCUGCGAGGACUGCUACCAGUUGUUCCGCGAGACGAGUAUACACCGAUUAUGCAAGAAAGACUGCUUUGAUUCAAAAUGGUUUGGCGAGUGCCUGAAAGUGCUGUUAAUACCCGAAGAGGAAAUAUCCAACCUCCAGCACUUUCUGAGAGUAGUGAACGGCUCGCCCAUAUCCUUCAACAUGGGGCCGCAAACAUAACUCUAAGUCCCGCCCACACACCCACACCCACACCCACACCACCCACCACACACCAUACAGCACACACCACACACAGUUGAGAAUCGCUGCGAACAUCGUGGGUUGGAACGGGCAUCCGAGUCCAGAUCCAGAUGCAGUCCCACUACGACCACAAAUGCAGAGCCAGAACACAGAAAUCUAAAAUAUUAAAACGCCCAAAUUUAAUUCGUACUUAUUUAUUACUGUAUGCCUUACAGUUUUUACUAUAUGUGUUUUUUUAAAAACGAAUUAUUUUUAUUAAUUUAUUGAGAACGUUAUGCGUUUGUUGUAAGUAACAUAAUCGGGGAGUGAGAGAUGGGCGAUGUUGAUGAUGAUGAUGAUAAUAAUGAUGAGGAUGAUAAUGAUGAUGAUAAGGUGGAGGAUCGCAGAUCUCGCACUCCCCAAAUAUACAUAGAAGCCGAAGUAUUUAUUUUUAAGUAUUCUUAGCUUGUUUUAUUAUUAUUGCGUUAUGCGGUUUGUAUAUAAAAUAAACAAAACGAAAUCCAUUGUUUUUAAUCUAUGUAAUGUAAAAUGAUAACUUUUAUUUUUGUAUCUGUAUUCUACUGUAAAAUCAGCAUUUAGAGUUUACAUUUUACACGAUUUUCCGCAAGGGCAAACUACAUUGAUAAAGAUAAACCCAUUACGAACACACACCCCCACACACACACACAUACACAUACGCAAUCGAGACCGAAAGUAUUUUGCAAAUGUAUUACACUUACAAUUUUGUGCUAUUUUGUAAAGAUGAAACCCUGAAUAGUGUAAAUCUGUUGGCGCAAAAACGAGAUAUUUGCCUAUAAAGUAUAUGCAUACCUAUCUAAAGCUAAAGCCCUACGUAUGUAUCCGAAUACGAAUACCCUACACACAUGCUUACUAUUAGAGAGAAAAGCAAGAUCGCAAUUUGUGCAAGACACAAACAAAAACCUGGUAAAAACACGCGAAGUACGACUGCAUUACAAAUGCGGCAAUAAAUAAUACAAAUAAACCCCUGUAAAUUAAUAAAGGAUAAUCAUUCGCUGGCUAUUUGAGAGCAUCAAAAUUGUGAUAAAUGAGAAUUUAGAAUGCGAAUGCGCGACGCAGAGCGACCAGAGACCCAGAGACACGAGAAAGUGAUCGCUAUAUCGCUAAAUAGGCGGCGGAGAAUGCCAGAGACACCGCCAGAGAAAGAGAACGCCAUGGAGGAGGCGACAGAGACAGACAGACUGCAGCUGGCGAUUUGCGCGCGUUUCUGGCGCGACUAAAAACGCCUGCUUACCGUUUUUGUUUUGGCAAGAAUGCUUCGGAUCGCCCUUCUUCAACGCCUGCAUAGAGGCUCUUCAGCUGCACGAGGAGAUGGACAAGUAUAACGAAUGGCGC
Molecule: unclassified non-coding RNA, 2160 nt
Filed under: Drosophila yakuba
Lineage: Eukaryota; Metazoa; Arthropoda; Insecta; Diptera; Drosophilidae
Description: GE14416
Source: RNAcentral